UGAAUUCCUGUGAGCAUUCCUCUUCAAGAUGGAAGAAAAAGGGAAUAUUUCACAACCCCAAUGGUGAAACGUCUGCCUAUAGCCAACAAUACAAUCUCCAUCCAUGUAUGAUGUGACUUGCUCCUACAUGCCUUCCACCAUGAUUAUGAGGCCUCCUGAGCCAUGUGGAACUACGAUGGAAAUCAUGUUAGACAAAAAGCAAAUUCAGGCAAUUUUCUUAUUUGAGUUCAAAAUGGGUCGUAUAGCAACAGACAUAGCUUGUGACAUCAACAAUGCAUUUGGCCCAGGAACUGCUAAUGAACAUACUGUGCAGUGGUGGUUCAAGAAGUUUUGCAAAGGAGAAGAGAGCCUUGAAGAUAAGGAGCAUAGUGGCUGGCUAUCAGAAGUUGAUACAGGAGAAGUUACCAAAGAACUCAACAUCGACCAUUCUAGGGUUGUUUGGCAUUUGAAACAAAUUGGAAAGGUGAAAAAGCUCGAUAAGUGGGUACCUCCUCAGCUGAGUGAAAAUAAACAAAAUCAGUGUUUUGAAGUGUCUUCUCUUACUCUACACAACAAUGAACCAUUUCCCGAUCAGAUUGUGACGUGCACAAAAAGUGGAUUUUAUACAGCAACUGACGAUGACCAGCUCAAUGGUUGGACUGAGAAGAAGUGCCAAAGCACUUCCCAAAGCCAAACUUGCAUCAAAAAAAUGGUCAUGGUUACUCUUUGGUGGUCGGCUACCUGUCUGAUCCACUACAGCUUUUUGAAUCCCUGAGAAACCAUUACAUCUGAGAAGUAUGCUCAGCAAAUCGAUGAGAUGCACCAAAAACUGCAACACCUGCAGCCGGUAUUGGUUAACAGAAAGGGUCCAAUUCUUCUCCACGACAAUGAUGGACCAUACAUUGCAUAACCAAUACUUCAGAAGUUGAACAAAUCGGGCUACAAAAUUUUGCCUCAUACGCCAUAUUCACUUGACCUCUCACCAACCAACUACCACUUCUUCAAGCAUCUCAACAACUUUUGUGGGGAAAAUGCUUCCAAAACCAUCAGGAUGCAGAAAAUGCUUUCUAAGUGAUCGUUGAUUCCCAAAUCACGGAUUUUUAUGCUACAGGGAUAAACAAACAUUUCUUAUUGGCAAAAAUGUGUUGAUUGUAAUGGUUCCUAUUUUUAUUAAUAAAAAUGUGUUUGAGCCUAGUUAUAAUAAUUUAAAA
This is a long non-coding RNA of Homo sapiens (human), 1190 nucleotides long. Lineage: Eukaryota; Metazoa; Chordata; Mammalia; Primates; Hominidae. The record is from Ensembl.